Unclassified non-coding RNA from Microcebus murinus (gray mouse lemur), 114 nucleotides. It matches the Rfam family "Y RNA". Rfam says of the family: Y RNAs are components of the Ro ribonucleoprotein particle (Ro RNP), in association with Ro60 and La proteins. The Y RNAs and Ro60 and La proteins are well conserved, but the function of the Ro RNP is not known. In humans the RNA component can be one of four small RNAs -- hY1, hY3, hY4 and hY5. Lineage: Eukaryota; Metazoa; Chordata; Mammalia; Primates; Cheirogaleidae. The record is from Ensembl.
GGCUGGUCCGAAGGUAGUGAGUUAUCUCACGUGAUUGUUCACAGUCAGUUACAGAUUGAACUCCUUGUUCUACUACUUUCCCCCCUCCUCACAACUGCACUUGACUAGUCUUAA